CAUGGCUGUCGUCAGCUCGUGUCGUGAGAUGUGGUUAAGUCCGCACGAGCGCAACCCUUGUCAUUAGUUGCUACAUUCAGUUGGGCACUCUAAUGAGACUGCCGGUGACAAGCCGGAGGAAGGUGGGGAUGACGUCAAGUCCUCAUGGCCCUUAUAGGUGGGGCUACACACGUCAUACAAUGGCUGGUACAAAGGGUUGCCAACCCGCGAGGGGGAGCCAAUCCCAGAAAGCCGAUCGUAGUCCGGAUUGUUCUCUGCAACUCGAGAGCAUGAAGUCGGAAUCGCUAGUAAUCGCGGAUCAGCAUGUCGCGGUGAAUACGUUCCCGGGUCUU
This 332-nucleotide ribosomal RNA is filed under the name uncultured beta proteobacterium. RNAcentral's name for it is "bacterial SSU rRNA". It matches the Rfam family "Bacterial small subunit ribosomal RNA", at positions 1044 to 1382 of the family's 1533-position model. Lineage: Bacteria; Pseudomonadati; Pseudomonadota; Betaproteobacteria. The record is from RNAcentral.